Molecule: ribosomal RNA, 198 nt
Filed under: uncultured bacterium
Lineage: Bacteria
Description: partial 16S ribosomal RNA
Rfam family: Bacterial small subunit ribosomal RNA
Source: RNAcentral
ACGCUCGACACCUACGCGAGGCAGCAGUGGGGAAUAUUGCACAAUGGGGGAAACCCUGAUGCAGCGACGCCGCGUGAAGGAAGAAGUAUCUCGGUAUGUAAACUUCUAUCAGCAGGGAAGAAAGUGACGGUACCUGACUAAGAAGCCCCGGCUAACUACGUGUCAGCAGCCGCGGUAAUCUGAGCGGGCUGGCAAGGC